CUGGUGCCCAGAAGUUUCAGCUCACACUUGGCCUGGAACCAGGGGGAACUGAGUGGAGGGGCAGUUUCUCUGUGGACUUGGAAUUUAUAAAUCUGCAGUUCUCCCUCUAGAGGUUGAUAUUAUCACCAGACCAUGGGCCAGCAAGGACCGGGGGACCUGGUCAGGAUUAGUCCUCGGAGGCAGUAGACCAGCACUCACAGAUCCCCAUCUUUGACAGCAUUGGAGAAGCUAGAAUUACAUUAUUUUUCAAAAGGACAAAGUAACAAAAGAGCUGGCUGACUGAUAUGUGCAGUAGUCCAAUAUGGCUGGUUUUCUUAUAAGAAGAGGAAAUGAGGAUACAGAAAACAUAGACAGAGGAAUGGCCGUGUGAUGACACAGGGAGAAGGGAGCCAUCUGCAAACCAAGGAGAGAGGCCUCAGAAGAAACCAACCCUGCUGACACUUCAAUGUUGAACUUCUUCUAGUCUCCAGAACUGUGAGAAAAUAAACUUCUAUUGUUU
Molecule: long non-coding RNA, 499 nt
Filed under: Homo sapiens (human)
Lineage: Eukaryota; Metazoa; Chordata; Mammalia; Primates; Hominidae
Description: HSALNT0028174
Source: RNAcentral